This 492-nucleotide ribosomal RNA is filed under the name uncultured bacterium. RNAcentral's name for it is "partial 16S ribosomal RNA". It matches the Rfam family "Bacterial small subunit ribosomal RNA", at positions 29 to 507 of the family's 1533-position model. The record is from RNAcentral.
AGUGAACGCUGGCGGUAGGCCUAACACAUGCAAGUCGAACGGCAGCACAGUAAGAGCUUGCUCUUACGGGUGGCGAGUGGCGGACGGGUGAGGAAUACAUCGGACUCUACUUUUUCGUGGGGGAUAACGUAGGGAAACUUACGCUAAUACCGCAUACGACCUACGGGUGAAAGCAGGGGAUCUUCGGACCUUGCGCGAUUGAAUGAGCCGAUGUCGGAUUAGCUAGUUGGCGGGGUAAAGGCCUACCAAGGCGACGAUCCGUAGCUGGUCUGAGAGGAUGAUCAGCCACACUGGAACUGAGACACGGUCCAGACUCCUACGGGAGGCAGCAGUGGGGAAUAUUGGACAAUGGGCGCAAGCCUGAUGCAGCCAUACCGCGUGGGUGAAGAAGGCCUUCGGGUUGUAAAGCCCUGUUGUUGGGAAAGAAAAGCAGCAGGUUAAUACCCCGCUGUUAUGACGGUACCCAAGGAAUAAGCACCGGCUAACUUCGUG